Molecule: ribosomal RNA, 429 nt
Filed under: uncultured bacterium
Lineage: Bacteria
Description: bacterial SSU rRNA
Rfam family: Bacterial small subunit ribosomal RNA
Source: RNAcentral
UGGGGAAUAUUGCGCAAUGGGGGCAACCCUGACGCAGCCAUGCCGCGUGUGUGAAGAAGGCCUUCGGGUUGUAAAGCACUUUAAGUGGGGAGAAAGGCUCGUUGGUUAAUAGCCAGCGGGAUUGAUGUUACCCACAGAAUAAGCACCGGCUAACUCCGUGCCAGCAGCCGCGGUAAUACGGAGGGUGCGAGCGUUAAUCGGAAUUACUGGGCGUAAAGCGCGCGUAGGCGGUUUGUUAAGUCAGCUGUGAAAGCCCCGGGCUCAACCUGGGAACUGCAGUUGAUACUGUCCGACUAGAGUACGAGAGAGGGAGGUAGAAUCCCAUGUGUAGCGGUGAAAUGCGUAGAUAUAUGGAGGAAUACCGGUGGCGAAGGCGGCCUCCUGGCUCGAUACUGACGCUGAGGUGCGAAAGCGUGGGGAUCAAACAGG